RNAcentral lists this ribosomal RNA (431 nucleotides) under uncultured bacterium. Its description in RNAcentral is "bacterial SSU rRNA". It matches the Rfam family "Bacterial small subunit ribosomal RNA", at positions 29 to 506 of the family's 1533-position model. The record is from RNAcentral.
ACGAACGCUGGCGGCAUGCCUAACACAUGCAAGUCGAACGAAGUCUUCGGACUUAGUGGCGCACGGGUGCGUAACGCGUGGGAAUCUGCCCUUGGGUACGGAAUAACUCAGAGAAAUUUGUGCUAAUACCGUAUAAUGUCUUCGGACCAAAGAUUUAUCGCCCAAGGAUGAGCCCGCGUAAGAUUAGCUAGUUGGUGAGGUAAGAGCUCACCAAGGCGACGAUCUUUAGCUGGUCUGAGAGGAUGAUCAGCCACACUGGGACUGAGACACGGCCCAGACUCCUACGGGAGGCAGCAGUGGGGAAUAUUGGACAAUGGGCGAAAGCCUGAUCCAGCAAUGCCGCGUGAGUGAUGAAGGCCUUAGGGUUGUAAAGCUCUUUUACCCGGGAUGAUAAUGACAGUACCGGGAGAAUAAGCUCCGGCUAACUCCGU